UUUCAUUUUAAGCAUCAAUGUACCUCCAUCCUGGCAGUAUUGUUUAUGUGUUAUUGAUAGGGGAACUAAAUAGUAACCAGAUUAAUAGAAACUAGGAGAUCUUUAGGUACAUAAGUUCAUCUUUUCAAAAUUUUUGUAAUGUUUGCAGUUUAAGAUGACCAUUCCUGAGAAACAGGCAGCUUCUUAGAAUGAAAAAGCAUUUCCUCUGAACCAUACUUAAUUUUUAUUUCGUAGACAGCAGGAAGGGUAAUCACACAUCACACAUUUGGGGACGUCAAAGAGAAAAUGUAACUUUCUGGGCGCACACCCACCCAUCUCCCCCUGCCCUUUUCACUGUCCCAUUCUCCCUGGAAGGCUCUUUCUUAUCUUCUGCUCAUGGCUCCAGUAACUCUUUCUUCCUCCUCGUCCCUCAGCUGGUAAGGUUACUUUUCUACUUUGAACAAGCAAACAAGCCAACAGAAGAGAAGUUUCACAAGCAACUCCCAGCACAUCCGCUUGCCUUCUGAUGUCUGUGACCUCACUCUCGCUGCCCCGCCUCUUAUUACAGAUUGAACAGGGUUCAGGGGGAAUGACAAGCCUGUCCCAUCGGCCAUCCUGUGUGUCAUAUCCUGGGACCCAGUGGAUGCUCAGCAUCCUCCAGCUGAAGAAGAAGAUUGUCUUAGACACAUGAAAGGUGAGGAUGCCUACUGUCCCCACGGAACCCAGGUGGAGCUGGGAGUCUGCUGUUUGUACAGUCAGUGGGCCCGCGUUGCUUUGGGCAUCCCUGUGCCUGAAUUCCUGCAGUACACUUGGUGAUGAGUGAACUUGGUUUCUGUGUGUCAGUCCAAAUUCCUCGGAAAGAUGCUCUAUCUCCCUCUGGACCUGUUGUCCAACCCAUCGGUUGUAGCCAGACGAGCGAGUCCCUCUGGGACAAGUGGAGGGGCUCUGCCCAGCCCCCCAGCCACCACUGUGGGAGCAUAUAGCUCUCCGAGGAGGAGGUACUGGCUGUGACGGUGUCAGUAAGUGUGAAUUUAAGUCUCCUCUUGCCCAACUUGAUCCUCCUAAACAAAGAUGAAAAUUAAACACUCCCGGGAUUUGUGUCAUGGAACACUCAGGGUGGGGGCUAAGGGGGCUACAGUGACUCCCCAACGAGAGCCU
Long non-coding RNA from Camelus dromedarius (Arabian camel), 1137 nucleotides. RefSeq lists it as uncharacterized. Lineage: Eukaryota; Metazoa; Chordata; Mammalia; Artiodactyla; Camelidae. The record is from RefSeq and is a predicted model, not a curated record. The transcript has 4 exons.